UAGCUUAUCAGACUGGUGUUUGUAUAAAAUACAUUGCAAACAACAGCUGAUAGGCCGGC
RNAcentral lists this microRNA precursor (59 nucleotides) under Eptatretus burgeri (inshore hagfish). RNAcentral describes it as "Ebu-Mir-21_pre stem-loop". Lineage: Eukaryota; Metazoa; Chordata; Myxini; Myxiniformes; Myxinidae. The record is from RNAcentral.